This 270-nucleotide ribosomal RNA is filed under the name uncultured archaeon. RNAcentral describes it as "partial 16S ribosomal RNA". It matches the Rfam family "Archaeal small subunit ribosomal RNA", at positions 477 to 747 of the family's 1478-position model. The record is from RNAcentral.
CAGCACCUCAAGUGGUCAGGAUGAUUAUUGGGCCUAAAGCAUCCGUAGCCGGCUCUGUAAGUUUUCGGUUAAAUCUGUACGCUCAACGUACAGGCUGCCGGGAAUACUGCAGAGCUAGGGAGUGGGAGAGGUAGACGGUACUCGGUAGGAAGGGGUAAAAUCCUUUGAUCUAUUGAUGACCACCUGUGGCAAAGGCGGUCUACCAGAACACGUCCGACGGUGAGGGAUGAAAGCUGGGGGAGCAAACCGGAUUAGAUACCCGAGUAGUCC